Molecule: transfer RNA, 58 nt
Filed under: Ailuropoda melanoleuca (giant panda)
Lineage: Eukaryota; Metazoa; Chordata; Mammalia; Carnivora; Ursidae
Rfam family: tRNA
About the family: Transfer RNA (tRNA) molecules are approximately 80 nucleotides in length.
Source: Rfam by way of RNAcentral
UGGCUCAGUUGGUGGAGCGUGAGGCUCUUGAUCUCGGGGUCAUGGGUUUGAGCCCCAU